This 499-nucleotide ribosomal RNA is filed under the name uncultured bacterium. RNAcentral's name for it is "partial 16S ribosomal RNA". It matches the Rfam family "Bacterial small subunit ribosomal RNA", at positions 355 to 845 of the family's 1533-position model. The record is from RNAcentral.
UAGGGAAUCUUCCACAAUGGACGCAAGUCUGAUGGAGCAACGCCGCGUGAGUGAAGAAGGCUUUCGGGUCGUAAAACUCUGUUAUUGAAGAAGAACGUGUGUGACAGUAACUGGUCAUGCAGUGACGGUAUUCAAUCAGAAAGUCACGGCUAACUACGUGCCAGCAGCCGCGGUAAUACGUAGGUGGCAAGCGUUGUCCGGAUUUAUUGGGCGUAAAGCGAGUGCAGGCGGUCUUUUAAGUCUGAUGUGAAAGCCUUCGGCUUAACCGAAGAAGGGCAUCGGAAACUGGGAGACUUGAGUGCAGAAGAGGAGAGUGGAACUCCAUGUGUAGCGGUGAAAUGCGUAGAUAUAUGGAAGAACACCAGUGGCGAAGGCGGCUCUCUGGUCUGUAACUGACGCUGAGGCUCGAAAGCGUGGGUAGCAAACAGGAUUAGAUACCCUGGUAGUCCACGCCGUAACGAUGAAUACUAAGUGUUGGAGGGCUUUCCGCCCUUCAGUG